Molecule: ribosomal RNA, 746 nt
Filed under: Salmonella enterica
Lineage: Bacteria; Pseudomonadati; Pseudomonadota; Gammaproteobacteria; Enterobacterales; Enterobacteriaceae
Description: bacterial LSU rRNA
Rfam family: Bacterial large subunit ribosomal RNA
Source: RNAcentral
GGGCGUUAAGUUGCAGGGUAUAGACCCGAAACCCGGUGAUCUAGCCAUGGGCAGGUUGAAGGUUGGGUAACACUAACUGGAGGACCGAACCGACUAAUGUUGAAAAAUUAGCGGAUGACCUGUGGCUGGGGGUGAAAGGCCAAUCAAACCGGGAGAUAGCUGGUUCUCCCCGAAAGCUAUUUAGGUAGCGCCUCGUGAAUUCAUCUCCGGGGGUAGAGCACUGUUUCGGCUAGGGGGCCAUCCCGGCUUACCAACCCGAUGCAAACUGCGAAUACCGGAGAAUGUUAUCACGGGAGACACACGGCGGGUGCUAACGUCCGUCGUGAAGAGGGAAACAACCCAGACCGCCAGCUAAGGUCCCAAAGUCAUGGUUAAGUGGGAAACGAUGUGGGAAGGCCCAGACAGCCAGGAUGUUGGCUUAGAAGCAGCCAUCAUUUAAAGAAAGCGUAAUAGCUCACUGGUCGAGUCGGCCUGCGCGGAAGAUGUAACGGGGCUAAACCAUGCACCGAAGCUGCGGCAGCGAACGUAUCACCCAAGACAACUUUGCGGAGUUGACGAUUGACGGAGCGAAGCGACGUCAAAGCGUUCAUUAAAGUCGAGUUGGCUUAGGGAUACGUUCGUUGGGUAGGGGAGCGUUCUGUAAGCCUGUGAAGGUGGCCUGUGAGGGUUGCUGGAGGUAUCAGAAGUGCGAAUGCUGACAUAAGUAACGAUAAAGCGGGUGAAAAGCCCGCUCGCCGGAAGACCAA